Leucoraja erinaceus (little skate) is the source of this 2803-nucleotide RNA transcript. It is a transcript of the gene named ninjurin-2-like, with no coding region annotated. The record is from RefSeq and is a predicted model, not a curated record. Lineage: Eukaryota; Metazoa; Chordata; Chondrichthyes; Rajiformes; Rajidae. The transcript is spliced from 4 exons.
GGACAAUAGGGUGAAUAAGAGGAUGUGCGGAUUGCGUCAAGGGAGGGGGCGAGGUUGUGUCCUCAAGAUUUAAUUAUUCAUUUAUCGGCCUACAUUCUCAAAGAAAACGACAACAACACCAGCAACUUUAUGAAAAAAUAAUAUGCAGCGACCUGUCCCCUCGUCCAUAUUUUAAGUGCGCAAAACAAAUCACACGGAAAGACAUCGGUGCAGAGAUGGCGUGGUGUUGAAAUUCUGUCUGGGACUGCUCGGAAUUAAAUAAAACCACCUCAAGUGAACCCUGUCCGAAAUAAGAACGGAGAGUGCUGGUCACUUCACCUGGAAAGAUAAGGCAGAGUUCACUCCAAUCGCCACAGUCCAAACAUGGACCAAAGAGCUGAAUGCGAGAGGUGGAGUGACAGUGAUGCUUUUGUUACCAAGGCAGCAUUUGACUGAAUAAGGCCUGGUAAAAGUGAAGUUAAUUCCAUUCUUAACUCCUCAACAACCGAAGGAGCUUAUGCCUGCAUGCAACAAUAUCUCCUCAACAUUUAGGCAUAGGCUGAUAUUUGUGUUACAAUACACCAGGCAAUGAAAAUCUUCAAUAAGAGGAAGUCUUGAUGUUAUCUUUGCCAAGUUCUCCACCAUUUAUAUACUGGAGGUCAAUGUAAAUCGGAAACUAAUUUGGACCAACAACAUAAAUACUGUGGCUACUGGUGUUGGUGAGAGACUGGGUAUCCUGUGGAAAGUGACACACCACCUGAUAUCCCAAGACCAUUUUACUAUCUGCAAAGCAGGUUAAGAGCAUGAUAGAACUCUGCACGUGUAUAGAAGAGUGCAGCACCAUAAAUUCUCAUGAGGCUAGAUGCCAUUCAGAGUAAAAUUACCCACUUGUUCAGAACUCCAAAAAUCAUCCUGACCCAUCAGCAUGCGAUGGCUGCCAUGUAUAUACUGUCUGUUAAAUGCACUACAAUUGCUUAUUAGAAAUGCAAAAGUCAUAAAUUUUAGUUUCUGUAUCAAACUCCAUUCCUUAGUCAACAAUGUCAUCCUUCUCCUUGUCCGAAAUUGAAUCACAUAUUUACAACUGCAAUGUUAUAUUUGACAUCCUAUAAAUGCUCAAUCACAUGAGACAAUUCCACCUCUGUGGUAUUUAGAAUUCUACCCUUGCCUCAGCACUAUGGCUGCUUUAAAUCCCUGAGACUUCCAAGGCAUGAUGGCAGGAUCAUCUCAUUCUAUUUUUCAUUAACUUGAGGUGUAAAGUCUUGCUGCCGAGUCCUAGCUUGCAAUGCCCCAUUCACUAUCAGCACUAUACUUGCUGGUCUGCUGUCAAGCAAAAUGUCUAAUUAAACAUUUCAUGCUGAUUUUCAUAUUCUUGCGUAGACUUGCCCCACCCCUAUCUUGAAAUUCCUUCCUUCUCUAAAGACCCCUGAGGCAUCUUUUCUCUUAUUCUGGCCUCUUCAUCAUCUGACUUUAAGUGCUCCUGUGUUGACGAUGUUUCCUUUUUUUGUCAAUCCUUAAUUCUGGAAUUCUCUUUCCAAAUCUCUCUGCCUCCAUGUAUUUUUUGAUCCUCUAAAACGUUCCUAAAUACCAACUUUGUAAUGCAAUGUUUCAUUCAUCUGCAUUACCUAAUGUUAUUUAAUCUUGCUCCUGUGAUGCAUGUUGAAUGUUAUAUUUGAUAUAUGUCUCUACAUUAAAGGCAAAAUAUAUUAACGCUUUUGUUGUUUCUUUUACAAGUGUAUAUCUACAGUGCUACAACACAGAAUGUGUUCCUGUUGUUACUUGUGGAAUUAAUUCCUGAUUUAUUCCUUUUAAUAUGCAAAUGUAUUUUGCUUGUAGGUAUAAAAUUGAAUUUGUCCUUUGUAUACAAUGUUACUGUUAAAACCAUCCACAUCCAUUUGCACAAUUUUAACUCUGUAGUGGCAGAUUUUUAUAUCAUUCAAGAGAUUGCUCCCUCUAGCCGCUAAAUGGACUGCAUGGUAUAGGGGAAUGUCGUUAUACGCAUGCGAGCUCUCCAUCAGAGACCUUCAGAGCUUCUUCACAGAUAAAUCUUCAUAACACAGUCUUUUGAUUAAUAUAUUCUUUAUUGUUGAUGAAAAACAAUAAGGUACAUACAAACUUCUUCCGACAUACACUAUAAUCUCCAUCAAACUCCAGCAUAUCGCUUUAAAGGUUAGAAAGCUCCUCGUGUCUCCGUUACACUCCGCAUGGUCAAAGGGUAAACCUUCUCCAUGCUAGUCCGAAACUAAACUAAAAACUAAGCUUCUGCUCAAGAAAUUUAGCUCCAAACACGCCCCAAAAUACGUCAUAAAUCCCACCCACAAUAUAACGGGCAGUCUGAAAUGUAAAGACACAUGCCAUCAUCAAUGACACACAAAACAAUCAAAAAAUGGCCACUACACUCUAUUUUAAUGGUGACUGUUAAUUUUAUGAGAUUACAAUUAUUUGUUUGCAAAAUUAUGUAUGUGGAUAAGAAAUAGCAGGAGUCCUUGUCCUGGUGGCUGUGGUGCUUAAUAUCACUUACUCCCAGUUUUGAGAUGACCUCGAUUAUGUGAUAUUUAAUAAUUUCAUUGAAAGUAGCAUCUAUUUGUUUUAUAAUUACUACAGGUUAUUCAUUGCACCUCUUGACUGCAUUUAGGCAAUCAUGGGAGAAGAGAUACUUACUUUAUUACCUGUACCCUUCCCACCAUUCAGUGACCUAAGCUGUCCUUCCAGGCUGAUAUUGGCAAUAAUUGUCCAUCCAAAAUAUUCUUGAACUGAGGAAGCAGUAGGAGUCAACAUCAGCGAGUUGGAAGUCACCUGUAGCCCAGACCAGGGUGAAGAGAUUGGC